GAUGAACGCUGGCGGCGUGCCUAAUACAUGCAAGUCGAGCGAACAGACGAGGAGCUUGCUCCUCUGACGUUAGCGGCGGACGGGUGAGUAACACGUGGAUAACCUACCUAUAAGACUGGGAUAACUUCGGGAAGCCGGAGCUAAUACCGGAUAAUAUAUUGAACCGCAUGGUUCAAUAGUGAAAGACGGUUUUGCUGUCACUUAUAGAUGGAUCCGCGCCGCAUUAGCUAGUUGGUAAGGUAACGGCUUACCAAGGCGACGAUGCGUAGCCGACCUGAGAGGGUGAUCGGCCACACUGGAACUGAGACACGGUCCAGACUCCUACGGGAGGCAGCAGUAGGGAAUCUUCCGCAAUGGGCGAAAGCUUGACGGAGCAACGCCGCGUGAGUGAUGAAGGUCUUCGGAUCGUAAAACUCUGUUAUUAGGGAAGAACAAAUGUGUAAGUAACUAUGCACGUCUUGACGGUACCUAAUCAGAAAGCCACGGCUAACUACGUG
RNAcentral lists this ribosomal RNA (497 nucleotides) under uncultured bacterium. RNAcentral describes it as "partial 16S ribosomal RNA". It matches the Rfam family "Bacterial small subunit ribosomal RNA", at positions 28 to 507 of the family's 1533-position model. The record is from RNAcentral.